RNAcentral lists this ribosomal RNA (274 nucleotides) under uncultured bacterium. RNAcentral's name for it is "partial 16S ribosomal RNA". It matches the Rfam family "Bacterial small subunit ribosomal RNA", at positions 523 to 796 of the family's 1533-position model. The record is from RNAcentral.
AUACGGAGGGUGCAAGCGUUGUUCGGAUUUAUUGGGCGUAAAGCGAGUGUAGGCGGCUUAGCAAGUCGGAUGUGAAAUCCCAGGGCCCAACCCUGGAACUGCAUCCGAUACUGUUAGGCUAGAGUUCCGGAGAGGGUGGCGGAAUUCCCGGUGUAGGGGUGAAAUCCGUAGAUAUCGGGAGGAACACCAGUGGCGAAGGCGGCCACCUGGACGGUGACUGACGCUGAGACUCGAAAGCGUGGGUAGCAAACAGGAUUAGAAACCCCGGUAGUCC